This is a long non-coding RNA of Lycium barbarum (goji berry), 1504 nucleotides long. RefSeq lists it as uncharacterized. NCBI's taxonomy places the organism in Eukaryota, Viridiplantae, Streptophyta, Magnoliopsida, Solanales, Solanaceae. The transcript has 2 exons. The record is from RefSeq and is a predicted model, not a curated record.
UCACAUUAGGCUAAGAGGGGGUAACACCCCUCACCAUUCUCAUUUUUCCUCACACCAAACGACCCCUACGCUCUCCUCUCUUUCCUUUUCUGUGUAAAACCCUAGCGCCGUCUUGACUCUCUCUCUCUCUCAUGCCAAGAAUGGCAAUGGUACAGAAAGUUCUUGCAGCUUUGGUACAACCAAAAGCAUGAAAAAAUUAAUGUUUCAACAUUUUUUCACUCGGAUCCGUCCAAACACGUAUAAAUCUUCUCCUGUUUCACUUUUUCUUUUAGUUUUCUUGAAUCAUAACACGAAUUUUGCAUCUUUGUUGUUAUAAUGGGACUGUACGAACUCGAUUACUAUUGGUUCACUAGGGUUUGGUUUGGACCGACCUAGAAUGGGUCAGAUCCAACUGCACAUGUUUAUCUUUGUAAAUCUUAGCCGUUAAUUUCAUAGUAUUAUGUUUUGCAUCUAAAAAAUCUCUUGGUACCGAAUCGUUUGUUUGGAUCUUUGAAUGAACUUUGGCCCAACCCUCUCACAAGAGGGACAGAGACAGACGGGAAAAAAAGAGAGAGAAAGGAGGAUAAAAAUGAAAAAAAAAAGGUGGAAAAAUCACGGAAAAUGCUUGAGUUUUAAGUUAAACUUGAAAUUUAAGCUUGUUAGUAUAAUUUUAGACUUAAACCCAUAAAAGUUUGAGUCUCCCAGUUCUAAAUUUUUUUGUUUUUACUUUUGUUUUUGUGGCUGAGUUCUGGGAUUGGAAGCAUUAAGGCUCCAAAUUCAACUCUAGAUCCGGCUGCACACAAAAAAGACGGCGAUGGCACAGAUCUGGCCGUGUGUAUUUUUGGUGGCGGCAACGAUUUUGAGAUGGCGGUGGAGAAGAUGACGUGGAGGUGGAGAGAUUAGGGUUUUUUAUGGCGGUGGAGAUUUUUUAGGGGUUUUCCUCUUUCAAAUUUGAGUUUCGUGGACGGGGUGAGGUGGUACUCGAGUUCUUGAUUUUAUCAAUGCUGGGUUGUAAGGCAUUGCUUAAGAAGUAGGUACUAGUGGCAUUCUAUCCUUCUGGUUCAGAUGAAGCUUUUCCUUGAUUUCUAGGCUUAGUUGCUUUUGCCUUGUGCUAUUGUGGAAUUGUUGAGUGAUGACUUGAAUAUGCAGUACAUUGUAACUGGAAAGAAUUUUCAUUUUGUAGGAGGUUUGUGAAAUUGUUAGUGCAGAUGAGAAUUGCAUUUCACUAAAGUGAAUUCUGUACUUUUGCGUCAUUGACCAAGUGCUGAUUUAGCUGUUUGAAGUCACCCUUUAGUUUUGUCGGACGCUAUAAUCAGAUACAAAUACAUUCAAAAAAUUUACAUCUCACAAAUAUACUGUUUUUGAAUGUAUUUAUCUUUGUAUUUUUUGAGAGUAUUUUUGAGUGUAUUUUGUUAAUAGCCAAACACACUAUUUUUGAAUAUAUUUGUCAUGUAUUUGAAUUUUUUUGUCUUGUAUCUGAAUGUAUUUGUUGAAAUCCAUUCAAAUACAUGAAAAUUUGAAUGUA